GGUCCAAUAGUGUAGAGGUUAUCACACAGGAUUCUGAAAAAGGAAUUCCUGUGACCCAGGUUCGAGUCCUGGUUGGACCU
Molecule: transfer RNA, 80 nt
Filed under: Lentinula guzmanii
Lineage: Eukaryota; Fungi; Basidiomycota; Agaricomycetes; Agaricales; Omphalotaceae
Rfam family: tRNA
About the family: Transfer RNA (tRNA) molecules are approximately 80 nucleotides in length. Their secondary structure includes four short double-helical elements and three loops (D, anti-codon, and T loops).
Source: Rfam by way of RNAcentral